UACGUAGGGUGCAAGCGUUAAUCGGAAUUACUGGGCGUAAAGCGUGCGCAGGCGGUUGUGUAAGACAGAUGUGAAAUCCCCGGGCUCAACCUGGCAACUGCAUUUGUGACUGCACAGCUGGAGUGCGGCAGAGGGGGAUGGAAUUCCGCGUGUAGCAGUGAAAUGCGUAGAUAUGCGGAGGAACACCGAUGGCGAAGGCAAUCCCCUGGGCCUGCACUGACGCUCAUGCACGAAAGCGUGGGGAGCAAACAGG
This 253-nucleotide ribosomal RNA is filed under the name uncultured bacterium. Its description in RNAcentral is "partial 16S ribosomal RNA". It matches the Rfam family "Bacterial small subunit ribosomal RNA", at positions 524 to 776 of the family's 1533-position model. The record is from RNAcentral.